GACGAACGCUGGCGGCGUGCUUAACACAUGCCAGUCGAACGGAAAGGCCCUGCUUGCCGGGUACUCGAGUGGCGAACGGGUGAGUAACACGUGGGUGAUCUGCCCUGCACUUCGGGAUAAGCCUGGGAAACUGGGUCUAAUACCGGAUAGGAGCCAGUUUUAGUGUGAUGGUUGGAAAGUUUUUUCGGUGUAGGAUGAGCUCGCGGCCUAUCAGCUUGUUGGUGGGGUAAUGGCCUACCAAGGCGGCGACGGGUAGCCGGCCUGAGAGGGUGGACGGCCACACUGGGACCGAGAUACGGCCCAGACUCCUAAGGGAGGCAGAAGUGGGGAAUAUUGCACCAUGGGCGCAAGCCUGAUGCAGCGACGCCGCGUGGGGGAUGACGGCCUUCGGGUUGUAAACUCCUUUCGCUAGGGACGAAGCUUUUUGUGACGGUACCUAGAUAAGAAGCACCGGCUAACUACGUG
Molecule: ribosomal RNA, 465 nt
Filed under: uncultured bacterium
Lineage: Bacteria
Description: partial 16S ribosomal RNA
Rfam family: Bacterial small subunit ribosomal RNA
Source: RNAcentral